AAUGUAUGGCGCCGUCGAUCCUGGCCCGUCCUCUAGUAGGACGAGAGCCGGUGCAUCACGGGUCAUCCUUGUGGAGAGCGUCUCUGCCCUUGAUUGGGUCGGUUGCGCGAUUCACAUCGUUUACUGUGAACAAAUCAGAGUGUUCAAAGCAGGCAUUUGCGGCUUGCAUGGUUCAGCAUGGAAUAAUGAGAUAAGGCUCUGGUCUUAUUUUGUUGGCUUAAGGACCAGAGUAAUGAUGGAAAGGGAUAGUUGGGGGUGCUAGUAUUCAAUGGUCAGCGGUGAAAUGUGUGGACCCAUUGAAGACUAACUUAUGCGAAAGCAUU
RNAcentral lists this ribosomal RNA (323 nucleotides) under uncultured Thalassomyxa. RNAcentral's name for it is "SSU rRNA". The stretch from base 110 to 323 matches the Rfam family "Eukaryotic small subunit ribosomal RNA", at positions 741 to 955 of the family's 1831-position model. The record is from RNAcentral. Lineage: Eukaryota; Endomyxa; Vampyrellida.